AAGGUGUGCCUUAGUAGCGUGACGGGAGAAACACCCGAAGCGCCAAUAGGUUGCAAAAAUCGGUGGCUGCGACUGUUUAUNAAAACACAGCACUCUGCUAACACGAAAGUGGACGUAUAGGGUGUGACGCCUGCCCGGUGCUGGAAGGUUAAGUGAUGGGGUGCAAGCUCCUGAUCGAAGCCCCAGUAAACGGCGGCCGUAACAAUAACGGUCCUAAGGUAGCGAAAUUCCUUGUCGGGUAAGUUCCGACCUGCACGAAUGGCGUAACGAUGGCCACACUGUCUCCUCCCGAGACUCAGCGAAGUUGAAAUGUUUGUGAUGAUGCAAUCUACCCGCGGCUAGACGGAAAGACCCCAUGAACCUUUACUGUAGCUUUGCAUUGGACUGUGAACCGAUCUGUGUAGGAUAGGUGGGAGGCAUUGAAGCGGGGCCGCUAGGUCUCGUGGAGCCAACGUUGAAAUACCACCCUGAUUUGUUUGCGGUUCUAACCUUCGCCCGUGAUCCGGGCGGGGAACAGUGCAUGGUAGGCAGUUUGACUGGGGCGGUCUCCUCCCAAAGGGUAACGGAGGAGUUCGAAGGUACGCUAGGCACGGUCGGAAAUCGUGCUAAUAGUGCAAGGGCAUAAGCGUGCUUAACUGCGAGACAGACACGUCGAGCAGAUACGAAAGUAGGACCUAGUGAUCCGGUGGUUCUGUAUGGAAGGGCCAUCGCUCAACGGAUAAAAGGUACUCUGGGGAUAACAGGCUGAUACCGCCCAAGAGUUCAUAUCGACGGCGGUGUUUGGCACCUCGAUGUCGGCUCAUCUCAUCCUGGGGCUGUAGCCGGUCCCAAGGGUAUGGCUGUUCGCCAUUUAAAGAGGUACGUGAGCUGGGUUUAAAACGUCGUGAGACAGUUUGGUCCCUAUCUGCCGUGGGCGCUGGAAGAUUGACGGGGGCUGCUCCUAGUACGAGAGGACCGGAGUGGACGCACCUCUGGUGUACCGGUUGUCACGCCAGUGGCAUCGCCGGGUAGCUAUGUGCGGAAGAGAUAACCGCUGAAAGCAUCUAAGCGGGAAACUUGCCUGAAGAUUAGUCUUCCCGGAGGCUUGACCUCCCUAAAGGGUCGUCCAAGACCAGGACGUUGAUAGGCU
RNAcentral lists this ribosomal RNA (1129 nucleotides) under Persicaria minor. Its description in RNAcentral is "bacterial LSU rRNA". It matches the Rfam family "Bacterial large subunit ribosomal RNA", at positions 1743 to 2862 of the family's 2925-position model. The record is from RNAcentral. Lineage: Eukaryota; Viridiplantae; Streptophyta; Magnoliopsida; Caryophyllales; Polygonaceae.